Sciurus carolinensis (gray squirrel) is the source of this 72-nucleotide non-coding RNA. Lineage: Eukaryota; Metazoa; Chordata; Mammalia; Rodentia; Sciuridae. The record is from the annotation of a RefSeq genome assembly.
GGGGAUGCAGCUCAGUGGCAGAGCAUGUGCUUAGUACGCACAAGGUCCUGGGUUCAAUCCCCAGCACCACUA